RNAcentral lists this ribosomal RNA (501 nucleotides) under uncultured bacterium. RNAcentral describes it as "partial 16S ribosomal RNA". It matches the Rfam family "Bacterial small subunit ribosomal RNA", at positions 30 to 523 of the family's 1533-position model. The record is from RNAcentral.
AUUGAACGCUGGCGGCAGGCUUAACACAUGCAAGUCGAGCGGGGGAAGGUAGCUUGCUACCGGACCUAGCGGCGGACGGGUGAGUAAUGCUUAGGAAUCUGCCUAUUAGUGGGGGACAACAUCUCGAAAGGGAUGCUAAUACCGCAUACGUCCUACGGGAGAAAGCAGGGGAUCUUCGGACCUUGCGCUAAUAGAUGAGCCUAAGUCGGAUUAGCUAGUUGGUGGGGUAAAGGCCUACCAAGGCGACGAUCUGUAGCGGGUCUGAGAGGAUGAUCCGCCACACUGGGACCGAGAAACGGCCCAGACUCCUACGGGAGGCAGCAGUGGGGAAUAUUGGACAAUGGGGGGAACCCUGAUCCAGCCAUGCCGCGUGUGUGAAGAAGGCCUUAUGGUUGUAAAGCACUUUAAGCGAGGAGGAGGCUACUUUAGUUAAUACCUAGAGAUAGUGGACGUUACUCGCAGAAUAAGCACCGGCUAACUCUGUGCCAGCCGCCGCCGUAA